AAAAAAUUAGUUAAAAAAUAACAUUAGUAUGUCAAACUAAAGUCACUAGAAAUCCUAGUAUUUUUUA
RNAcentral lists this transfer RNA (67 nucleotides) under Clephydroneura sp. Its description in RNAcentral is "tRNA-Asp". The record is from RNAcentral. Lineage: Eukaryota; Metazoa; Arthropoda; Insecta; Diptera; Asilidae.